Molecule: long non-coding RNA, 902 nt
Filed under: Nicotiana benthamiana
Lineage: Eukaryota; Viridiplantae; Streptophyta; Magnoliopsida; Solanales; Solanaceae
Description: long non-coding RNA (NBEN_LNC002557)
Source: RNAcentral
UCAUGACUGACAAUGGGAUUCCAUGGUUGACUACCUGCAGAGUCAUUUAUUGCAUGCAUGCUGUUAUUUACGUCCAGGUUGAAUUAGCGAAGCACGUCUUAUUCUCUUUUCUGUUAAACCGCUAUGUAUCUAAAAUCUAGGACAUCUCUUUUAACUUAUCAACUGAAAAUAAAGGAAAGAGAGAAGGAGGAGGAGAUAUGUCUAGAAACCAAAUGCACCAUGUGUGCUGCAUGAAGUUUCUUUUUCUUGAUUUCUAAAUGCUUUUGUCUCUCUGUGGAGAAUUUGACAACAUCUUUUAUUUAUGUGGUGUGUGUAUAUUGUUCUUCCUCGAAUCAUAUCAUCAUGAAGGAACUUUAUAUGUAACAAAAUAGGAUAAAAAACUAUAUGAUUUUGUACAUGAUUGCAGGUGACAUGACACAAGAGAACUACCUGGAAGAAACCUAGUUCCUUGCAAGCCAGGUGUACUUCCUUGAUUAUCCGAGGCCGAUGAAGAGGGUGUCGCAGAAAGGAUAGAUCUACAAUUGGCAGGCAUGUGUUAGACCGGGUUCCAUCGGAGCGUAAGGAUGGCGGAAGAAUGUAACGUUUGGGAACUUUUUUUAGACCGUCUUCAGUAAAUGUCGUGGCACUAGUAAAUGAAUCAUUUGGUGAAGCUGAGCUCUUUUCCAUUUUUCCUAGUUUCAAAUAUGGCUUAACUCCUUAUUUAUAAGCAGAAAAUAUGAAGGUUUAAUUAUAUGUAUAUUUAAAAUCAUUUAUCCAGUUAUGCAAUGAAUAUGUGUAGUAUGUGAUGCUACCAUGACUAUAAGCGAUGAAAAGUGUAUGCAAUGAAUUAUUAUUGUAUAAUAUUGUUAUUUUUGAAGGCCGAGAAAUGUCAGAUGACGGUAAUUGUUGGUUUCACAAGUUGA